UUCUUCAACAUGUCUCUACCUCUUGAUGUCUGGGACUAAUGGUGUGUGCCACUGCACCUGACUCCCCCCCCCAAAAAAAGUACCAUUAUACUGGGGGAGGGAGUAGUCCAGAUCUCUGAUUUUCAGGCUCUGUGGCUUUUGAUUAUCAGCCUGGGAAGGGAGUCUCAAAGAGGAAGUAACUAGAUUAGGUUGGUUGCCCUGUGGGCGUGUCUACAGGAGAUUUCCUCCAGCAGGGAGAACCCUCCACUGUGGGUAGCACCAUUCCUUAGGAGAGGAUUUCAAAUGGCACAAGUCUUUAGAAAGGGAUCUGAGCUGAGUGUGAGUUCAUUUCCUCUCUCUGCUCUUACCUGGUGUGUGUGUCCGCCACUUGAGUUCCCCACGGUGAUGGAUGUGCAAGGACCCACCUGGGUGAGAGAUCAGUGGGAGAGCGUGACAACUGGUUUAGCUAGCAGCAAGGCAUCAUGCUUAGCUAGCAGCAAGGGAUCACACUUAGCUAGCAGUAAGGGAUCCUUGUUGCCGGGACUGUCUGCAGGAGGGGCACAGGCAUAUGUAGGUGAAUGAAGUCCCCACAGCAGCCAGAAGAGGGCGCUGGAUACCCUGGAGCCUGAGUGACAGUUGCGUGUGAGCGACCAGAGGAUGCUGGGAACUAAACUCAUGUCCUCUGUAAUGACGGCUGUUAGGACUGAGGCUGCUCCCAACCUGUGGACCCGUUCAGAUCAGCACGUGUUUGCAUCCUCUCGGGUAAAGGUCUCGAGUGGGAUGCCCAAGCUUUACAGCGACUGGUGAGCUCUAUAGGAACUUGCCCAACUGGGUUUCAGAGCAGGUGUAACAUAUGGGACCCCAUCAACCAUGCGGAGCACCCCAGCCCCUCCCCAUCCAGCCGGGUGCUGCUCUUUUUCAGUUUCAGUCUCGGUGUGCCCUGACCCUCAGUGGGGUUUCCCUGUGCAUUCCUCUGACGGAUGAUGGUGUCAAACAGCGCCUGCCUCGGGGAAGCACCUGGAAGGCCUUUAGGGACCCCUCCCUUCCUCAUCCCAGCCCUCUACAACCCUCUGCUGCCUUUCCCAAGGGCCCACGUUGGAACCCUGAGGUCUUAGCUAGCUCUUCCUCUCACUCUAACUCCAGUUUCUCGCAGGUGUGUCUCCACCCUCCAUUAAUCCGUUCAUCCAUUGGGUUCAGCUGCGAGCUACCAGCAUCCUCAGUCUCCCCCACCCCGCCCCCGCAGCAACUAACUCAUCCUUUUUUGGAUACUACCCCCACCCCCACUCCUGCCUUGUUCAUUUCUCUCACUCGCACCACUGGGUCCAUGCUAGUACACGCUCUAACACCCUGUGGCUUGUGUGAGUGGCAGAGAGAA
Long non-coding RNA from Mus musculus (house mouse), 1354 nucleotides. RefSeq annotates it as predicted gene, 42004. The transcript is spliced from 3 exons. The record is from RefSeq and is a predicted model, not a curated record. Lineage: Eukaryota; Metazoa; Chordata; Mammalia; Rodentia; Muridae.